Molecule: long non-coding RNA, 884 nt
Filed under: Homo sapiens (human)
Lineage: Eukaryota; Metazoa; Chordata; Mammalia; Primates; Hominidae
Description: HSALNT0403717
Source: RNAcentral
AAGAAUUCAACGGUAAGCUGGUGGUGUUAAACAGAAGUCAUCAUGAGCUACAAUGAAAAUGAUACAGAGUAGUUAAGAUAAGUGAAAAAGAAAUGAUGUCCAUGUUUUAUCCCUCUGGAAAAAUUAUCUCAACUCUGAAAGGAUUGUUUCUACUGAGCCUGAACUUCAAAAUGGGUUCUGUAUAAACGUUAAUAAAUACAGUUCUAUGAGCUCUUGGAUUUUAGCCUUGAGGUUAUUACAGUCUCAGAAAAAGGCUGAAGAAAGGUCAUUUAGAAUAACCACAUGUUAUAUUUUACUCUAACAAGGUGAUAAAGAAUAUAACUGAAAAGCUACCAACGAAAUGAAGAUUAUGAGAAAGUUGAAAUUACCUUGAACCUACUCUCAUAUAUUCUUGGUGUUUGGGACUGCUACAAAAUGUAAGGAAGCAUCAUAAAUCUAGAAGAAGGUUCAACUUAACGACAGAAGCCUGAAUGUGCCAGUAGUUCCUCCCUUUAAGAGAUGGAGUCUGUUUCUCUGCCUUAAGUUGACCUUUGGACUUAUUUUGGUCAAUAGAAUGCAGUGAAAGUAACCAUGUGCUGAAUCUAAGGCGGACGUCAGUGGCUGUGUGGGUUUCCAUGCUCUCUCAGAACUCCAUCACUGUCCUGUGAACAAAUCCAGGCUAGCCUGCAGGAGUGAGACACCAUAUGAAGAGAUCCCAGUUAUCACAGCUGAGGCCAUCCUAGACUUGUUUGCAGCCAGUUGAUUCUGGAGAACGUGAGAAGGACCAGCCAAGGUCAUCAGAGCCACGUUUGCCACACCCACAGCUAACUGAAGCUAUGUGCCUGGGCCCAGCUGUGACCAGAACUGCUCAGCUAACCUGGAGACUCAUAAGCAAUAAAGGAUAC